RNAcentral lists this ribosomal RNA (466 nucleotides) under uncultured bacterium. Its description in RNAcentral is "bacterial SSU rRNA". It matches the Rfam family "Bacterial small subunit ribosomal RNA", at positions 28 to 507 of the family's 1533-position model. The record is from RNAcentral.
GAUGAACGCUGGCGGCGUGCAUAACACAUUCAAGUCGAACGGUGACGGGACUUCGGUCCCUGAUCAGUGGCGGACGGGUGAGUAACGCGUGAGCAACCUGCCCUUAUGUUCGGGAUAACGACCGGAAACAGUCGCUAAUACCGAAUAACAUAUUCUGAUUGCAUGGUUGGGAUAUCAAAGAUUUAUUGCAUAAGGAUGGGCUCGCGUCCCAUUAGAUAGUUGGUGAGGUAACGGCUCACCAAGUCGACGAUGGGUAGCCGGACUGAGAGGUUGAACGGCCACAUUGGAACUGAGAUACGGUCCAGACUCCUACGGGAGGCAGCAGUGGGGAAUAUUGGGGCAAUGGGGGAAACCCUGACCCAGCGACGCCGCGUGCGGGAAGAAGGUCUUCGGGAUUGUAAACCUUUGUUGACAGGGAAGAAUAAAGUGACGGUACCUGUCGAGGAAGCCACGGCUAACUACGGUG